RNAcentral lists this ribosomal RNA (410 nucleotides) under uncultured Chloroflexota bacterium. Its description in RNAcentral is "bacterial SSU rRNA". It matches the Rfam family "Bacterial small subunit ribosomal RNA", at positions 958 to 1385 of the family's 1533-position model. The record is from RNAcentral. Lineage: Bacteria; Bacillati; Chloroflexota.
AACGCGAAGAACCUUACCAGGGUUUGACAUGUAGUCGCACCACCCUGAAAAGGGUGUUCCUUCGGGACGACUACACAGGUGCUGCAUGGCUGUCGUCAGCUCGUGCCGUGAGGUGUUGGGUUAAGUCCCGCAACGAGCGCAACCCUUAUUGUUAGUUAAAUUCACUAACGAGACUGCCCCGAUCAACGGGGAGGAAGGUGGGGAUGACGUCAAGUCAGCACGGCCCUUACAUCCUGGGCUACACACACGCUACAAUGGUCGGUACAGAGAGCCGCUAACCCGCGAGGGGGUGCGAAUCUCACAAAGCCGGUCUCAGUUCGGAUUGUAGGCUGCAACCCGCCUACAUGAAGCUGGAGUUGCUAGUAACCGUGGGUCAGCACACCACGGUGAAUACGUUCCCGGGCCUUGUA